Molecule: ribosomal RNA, 2894 nt
Filed under: human gut metagenome
Description: bacterial LSU rRNA
Rfam family: Bacterial large subunit ribosomal RNA
Source: RNAcentral
AGCGUACACGGUGGAUGCCUAGGCAGUCAGAGGCGAUGAAGGGCGUGCUAAUCUGCGAAAAGCGUCGGUAAGGUGAUAUGAACCGUUAUAACCGGCGAUACCCGAAUGGGGAAACCCAGUGUGUUUCGACACACUAUCAUGUCAUGAAUACAUAGUGGCAUGAGGCGAACCGGGGGAACUGAAACAUCUAAGUACCCCGAGGAAAAGAAAUCAACCGAGAUUCCCCCAGUAGCGGCGAGCGAACGGGGAGGAGCCCAGAACCUGAAUCGGCUUGUGUGUUAGUGGAAGCGUCUGGAAAGUCGCGCAGUAAAGGGUGAUAGCCCCGUACACUAAAAUGCACAGGUCGUGAGUUCGAUGAGUAGGGCGGGACACGUGACAUCCUGUCUGAAUAUGGGGGGACCAUCCUCCAAGGCUAAAUACUCCUGACUGACCGAUAGUGAACCAGUACCGUGAGGGAAAGGCGAAAAGAACCCCGGCGAGGGGAGUGAAAUAGAACCUGAAACCGUGUACGUACAAGCAGUGGGAGCACCUUCGUGGUGUGACUGCGUACCUUUUGUAUAAUGGGUCAGCGACUUAUAUUUUGUAGCAAGGUUAACCGUAUAGGGGAGCCGUAGGGAAACCGAGUCUUAACUGGGCGAAUAGUUGCAAGGUAUAGACCCGAAACCCGGUGAUCUAGCCAUGGGCAGGUUGAAGGUUGGGUAACACUAACUGGAGGACCGAACCGACUAAUGUUGAAAAAUUAGCGGAUGACUUGUGGCUGGGGGUGAAAGGCCAAUCAAACCGGGAGAUAGCUGGUUCUCCCCGAAAGCUAUUUAGGUAGCGCCUCGUGAACUCAUCUUCGGGGGUAGAGCACUGUUUCGGCUAGGGGGCCAUCCCGGCUUACCAAACCGAUGCAAACUCCGAAUACCGAAGAAUGUUAUCACGGGAGACACACGGCGGGUGCUAACGUCCGUCGUGAAGAGGGAAACAACCCAGACCGCCAGCUAAGGUCCCAAAGUCAUGGUUAAGUGGGAAACGAUGUGGGAAGGCAUAGACAGCCAGGAUGUUGGCUUAGAAGCAGCCAUCAUUUAAAGAAAGCGUAAUAGCUCACUGGUCGAGUCGGCCUGCGCGGAAGAUGUAACGGGGCUAAACCAUGCACCGAAGCUGCGGCAGCGACGCUUUAGGCGUUGUUGGGUAGGGGAGCGUUCUGUAAGCCGUUGAAGGUGGCCUGUGAGGGUUGCUGGAGGUAUCAGAAGUGCGAAUGCUGACAUAAGUAACGAUAAAGCGGGUGAAAAGCCCGCUCGCCGGAAGACCAAGGGUUCCUGUCCAACGUUAAUCGGGGCAGGGUGAGUCGACCCCUAAGGCGAGGCUGAAAAGCGUAGUCGAUGGGAAACAGGUUAAUAUUCCUGUACUUGGUGUUACUGCGAAGGGGGGACGGAGAAGGCUAGGCUGGCCGGGCGACGGUUGUCCCGGUUUAAGCGUGUAGGGGGUGUGACCUGGUAAAUCCGGUUGCAUAUCAACCCUGAGGCGUGAUGACGAUGCACUACGGUGCAGAAGUAGUUGAUGCCCUGCUUCCAGGAAAAUCCUCUAAGCUCCAGGUAACAUUAAAUCGUACCCCAAACCGACACAGGUGGUCAGGUAGAGAAUACCAAGGCGCUUGAGAGAACUCGGGUGAAGGAACUAGGCAAAAUGGUGCCGUAACUUCGGGAGAAGGCACGCUGGCAUGUAGGUGAAGUCCCUUGCGGAUGGAGCUGAAGCCAGUCGAAGAUACCAGCUGGCUGCAACUGUUUAAUAAAAACACAGCACUGUGCAAACACGAAAGUGGACGUAUACGGUGUGACGCCUGCCCGGUGCUGGAAGGUUAAUUGAUGGGGUCAGCCGCAAGGCGAAGCUCUUGAUCGAAGCCCCAGUAAACGGCGGCCGUAACUAUAACGGUCCUAAGGUAGCGAAAUUCCUUGUCGGGUAAGUUCCGACCUGCACGAAUGGCGUAAUGAUGGCCAGGCUGUCUCCACCCGAGACUCAGUGAAAUUGAACUCGCUGUGAAGAUGCAGUGUACCCGCGGCAAGACGGAAAGACCCCGUGAACCUUUACUAUAGCUUGACACUGAACAUUGAGCCUUGAUGUGUAGGAUAGGUGGGAGGCUUUGAAGCGUGGACGCCAGUCUGCGUGGAGCCAUCCUUGAAAUACCACCCUUUAAUGUUUGAUGUUCUAACUCGGCCCCAUAAUCUGGGGUGAGGACAGUGUCUGGUGGGUAGUUUGACUGGGGCGGUCUCCUCCCAAAGAGUAACGGAGGAGCACGAAGGUUAGCUAAUCACGGUCGGACAUCGUGAGGUUAGUGCAAAGGCAUAAGCUAGCUUGACUGCGAGAGUGACGGCUCGAGCAGGUACGAAAGUAGGUCUUAGUGAUCCGGUGGUUCUGAAUGGAAGGGCCAUCGCUCAACGGAUAAAAGGUACUCCGGGGAUAACAGGCUGAUACCGCCCAAGAGUUCAUAUCGACGGCGGUGUUUGGCACCUCGAUGUCGGCUCAUCACAUCCUGGGGCUGAAGUAGGUCCCAAGGGUAUGGCUGUUCGCCAUUUAAAGUGGUACGCGAGCUGGGUUUAGAACGUCGUGAGACAGUUCGGUCCCUAUCUGCCGUGGGCGUUGGAAGAUUGAGAGGGGUUGCUCCUAGUACGAGAGGACCGGAGUGAACGCACCACUGGUGUUCGGGUUGUCAUGCCAAUGGCAUUGCCCGGUAGCUAAGUGCGGAAAAGAUAAGCGCUGAAAGCAUCUAAGCGCGAAACUUGCCUCAAGAUGAGUCUUCCCUGGGCCUUCAAGGCCCCUGAAGGAACGUUUAAGACUAAGACGUUGAUAGGCUGGGUGUGUAAGUGCAGCGAUGCAUUGAGCUAACCAGUACUAAUGAUCCGUGAGGCUUAACC